RNAcentral lists this ribosomal RNA (253 nucleotides) under uncultured bacterium. RNAcentral's name for it is "partial 16S ribosomal RNA". It matches the Rfam family "Bacterial small subunit ribosomal RNA", at positions 524 to 776 of the family's 1533-position model. The record is from RNAcentral.
UACGUAGGGUGCAAGCGUUGUCCGGAAUUAUUGGGCGUAAAGAGCUCGUAGGCGGUCAGUCGCGUCUGCUGUGAAAACUCGGGGCUUAACUCCGGGCCUGCAGUGGGUACGGGCUGACUAGAGUGCGGUAGGGGAGACUGGAAUUCCUGGUGUAGCGGUGAAAUGCGCAGAUAUCAGGAGGAACACCGGUGGCGAAGGCAGCUCGCUGGGACGGUACUGACGCUGAGGCGCGAAAGCGUGGGGAGCAAACAGG